This 460-nucleotide ribosomal RNA is filed under the name uncultured bacterium. Its description in RNAcentral is "partial 16S ribosomal RNA". It matches the Rfam family "Bacterial small subunit ribosomal RNA", at positions 338 to 795 of the family's 1533-position model. The record is from RNAcentral.
CCUACGGGUGGCAGCAGUGAGGAAUAUUGGUCAAUGGACGCAAGUCUGAACCAGCCAUGCCGCGUGCAGGAAGACGGCUCUAUGAGUUGUAAACUGCUUUUGUACGAGGGUAAACGCAGAUACGCGUAUCUGUCUGCAAGUAUCGUACGAAUAAGGAUCGGCUAACUCCGUGCCAGCAGCCGCGGUAAUACGGAGGAUUCAAGCGUUAUCCGGAUUUAUUGGGUUUAAAGGGUGCGUAGGCGGUCGGAUAAGUUAGAGGUGAAAUCCCGAGGCUCAACUUCGGAAUUGCCUCUGAUACUGUUCGGCUAGAGAGUAGUUGCGGUAGGCGGAAUGUAUGGUGUAGCGGUGAAAUGCUUAGAGAUCAUACAGAAUACCGAUUGCGAAGGCAGCUUACCAAGCUACUUCUGACGUUGAGGCACGAAAGCGUGGGGAGCAAACAGGAUUAGAUACCCCAGUAGUC